AGAGAAAACUGGGUUCUGUCUCACGACGGCCCGACCUACCCCACACACACCUGCGAACCGUUUAUAUGAUGGAGUCUCGGCUCCGUCGUGGAAGCCACAACGGCCCUCACCGGCUGGCGGGCUUCCAACCUUUACAAAACAUCUGUAACAAGUCUUGAACGUCUAUAGUUAUAUUUUAACAAAAAUA
This 187-nucleotide unclassified non-coding RNA is filed under the name uncultured Basidiomycota. RNAcentral describes it as "sequence contains ITS1". Lineage: Eukaryota; Fungi; Basidiomycota. The record is from RNAcentral.